GGGCGAUUAGCUCAAUUGGUUAGAGCGCAUGCAUGACACGCAUGAGGCAAGAGGUUCGAAUCCUCUAUCGCCCA
RNAcentral lists this transfer RNA (74 nucleotides) under Patescibacteria group bacterium. Its description in RNAcentral is "tRNA-Val". It matches the Rfam family "tRNA". From Rfam's summary of the family: Transfer RNA (tRNA) molecules are approximately 80 nucleotides in length. Their secondary structure includes four short double-helical elements and three loops (D, anti-codon, and T loops). RNAcentral also lists the same sequence under 1 other name. The record is from RNAcentral.